RNAcentral lists this ribosomal RNA (207 nucleotides) under uncultured bacterium. Its description in RNAcentral is "partial 16S ribosomal RNA". It matches the Rfam family "Bacterial small subunit ribosomal RNA", at positions 568 to 774 of the family's 1533-position model. The record is from RNAcentral.
CUCGUAGGCGGUUCAGUAAGUCGGGUGUGAAAACUUUGGGCUUAACCCAAAGCGUGCAUCCGAUACUGCUGUGACUUGAGUUCGGUAGGGGAGUGGGGAAUUCCUAGUGUAGCGGUGAAAUGCGCAGAUAUUAGGAGGAACACCGGUGGCGAAGGCGCCACUCUGGGCCGAAACUGACGCUGAGGAGCGAAAGCAUGGGUGCAAACA